Long non-coding RNA from Olea europaea var. sylvestris, 243 nucleotides. RefSeq lists it as uncharacterized. The record is from RefSeq and is a predicted model, not a curated record. The transcript has 3 exons. NCBI's taxonomy places the organism in Eukaryota, Viridiplantae, Streptophyta, Magnoliopsida, Lamiales, Oleaceae.
UUUUUUUUUUAAAUUUAAAUGUUAGUCCUUUCUAUCGCGCCUGUCUUUUGAUUUCAGAAAAAAAAUACAAUACUCUAAGUUCAAGAGAGUAAAGUUUACUGAAUUCCAGCUUUCGAAUGGAUAAAUGAGUGAAGGAGCAAGAAAAGGACUAAGGAGUAUGAUAAGAGUUAUACAUAUUGUUCUCAAAGCGCUACUGGCCCGUCAGUUGUUGGCUAAUAUAUUGAGCAGAUAUUGAUAGAAGCA